Molecule: non-coding RNA, 86 nt
Organism: Tephrocybe sp. NHM501043
Lineage: Eukaryota; Fungi; Basidiomycota; Agaricomycetes; Agaricales; Lyophyllaceae
Source: the annotation of a GenBank genome assembly
ACACUGAUGGUGAAGUGGUUAUCAUGCUUGCCUUCCAUCUCUUGGUGUUUCAGCAAGCGGCAGGGGUUCGAUUCCCCUUCAGUGUA